UUGACGGUACCCUACUAGAAAGGAGCCGCUAACUUCGUGCCAGAAGCGUCGGUAAUACGGGGGCUCCAAGCGUUAUCCGGUGUUAUUGGGCGUAAAGAGUCGUGUAGGUGGUUGGGUAAGUUAUCUUUCAAAUAUCUUUGCUUAACAAAGAGGAGGGGGAUAAUACUGCUCGACUAGAAUUUUCUCAAGGGAGAUCGGAACUGAGGGAGGAGUAGUGAAAUGCGUUGAUACCCUCGGGAACACCAGUGGCGUAGGCGGAUCUCUGGGAGAAGAUUGACACUGAGACACGAAAGCUAGGGGAGCGAAGCAGAUUAGAGACCUGCGUAGUCCUAGCCGUAAACGCAUGCUUGCUAGCUGCAUGAAUCUACCUUCGGGUGGUAUCGUGUGGCGAAGGUAACCCGUUAAGCAAGCCGCCUGGAAAGUACGGCCGCAAGGCUGAAAUUCAAAGGAAUUGGCGGGGAGGCACACAACCAGUGGAACAUGUGGUUUAAUUCGAGACUAACCGAAGAACCUCACCAGGGUUUGACAUGUAGCUGCACGUCUUAAGAAAUUAAGACUCUCUUGAAGGUGCUACACAGGUGCUGCAUGGCUGUCGUCAGCUCGUUCCGUGAGGAGUGCCCUUAAGUGGGACAACGAGCGCAACCCCUAUUACAUGUUAGAAAUGUCAUGUAAGACUGCCUUGCCAUUUGGCGGGGAGGAAGGAGGGGCAGACGUCAAGUCCGCAUGGUCCUUAUGCCCUGGGCUACACACAUGUUACAAUGAGUACGGCAAUGAGUCUGUCGCGAGCACGUAAGUGUAAGCUAAUCUCUUAAAUGUACUCUCAGUGGGGAUUGAGGUCUGCAACUCGACCUCAUGAACACGGAAUUGGUAGUAAUCGCGGGUCAGCUAUACCGCGGUGAAUACGUUCUUGCCUCUUGCACACACCGCCCGUCAAACCAGCAAAGU
Molecule: ribosomal RNA, 945 nt
Filed under: uncultured organism
Description: bacterial SSU rRNA
Rfam family: Bacterial small subunit ribosomal RNA
Source: RNAcentral